Molecule: long non-coding RNA, 322 nt
Organism: Daphnia magna
Lineage: Eukaryota; Metazoa; Arthropoda; Branchiopoda; Diplostraca; Daphniidae
Exons: 2
Source: RefSeq, a predicted model, not a curated record
UGCAAUGGCCAAACUUCAGGCUGACAUUUGUUUAAAUGAGGAUAUCGAUAAGAACAAUUAACUAGUCAGUGUAAUUUCAAUCAAGGCCAUGAUGGUGUUGGAGCUACCACUACUGAAAUUUGUAUACUGGUCUUUGAGCUUGGGUUUUACAUUUGGUAAUUAACUAUCAGUUUCAUAUUCGAGCAUGAAUCUCAGUGCUUUGCACUUUUCGAAACAAGAUUAAAUUCUCCCACGAGAAACGAGAUGUUGGUAUUUCCUUUUUUCUGCUUUGAUAAUAAAAAAUAUGCCAGCAUUCGAAAAACGUCGUCUAAGGGCGUCUUAC